Molecule: ribosomal RNA, 775 nt
Filed under: uncultured Neocallimastigales
Lineage: Eukaryota; Fungi; Neocallimastigomycota; Neocallimastigomycetes; Neocallimastigales
Description: partial large subunit ribosomal RNA
Rfam family: Eukaryotic large subunit ribosomal RNA
Source: RNAcentral
UAGAUGCGAGAGUAGAGCAUAUCAAUAAGCGGAGGAAAAGAAACUAACAAGGAUUCCCUUAGUAACGGCGAGUGAAGCGGGAAGAGCUCAAAUUUGAAAUCUUCAAGGUUUUACCUUGACGAAUUGUAGUUUAAAGAAGUGUUUUCUGUUAGAUUUGAGUAGCAAAGUUCCUUGGAAUAGGGACAUCAUAGAGGGUGAGAAUCCCGUAUUUGGUUAUUCAUUCUAGCUUUGUGAUACACUUUCAAAGAGUCGGAUUGUUUGGGAAUGCAGUCCAAAAUGGGUGGUAAAUUUCAUCUAAAGCUAAAUAUUGGCGAGAGACCGAUAGCGAACAAGUACCGUGAGGGAAAGAUGAAAAGAACUUUGAAAAGAGAGUUAAACAGUACGUGAAAUUGUCAAAAGGGAAGCGUUUGACACCAGUGUUGUUUUUCCGAAAAUCAAUACGAAUGGCUUGAUUUUGUGUUGUAUUGACCUUAUCAGCUUUCUGCACUUUUUUCGAGUCUUUCUUAAUGCACUUUUCGGUUAACAAGUCAACAUCAAUUUCUUUUGUUGUAAAAGAGUAUUCGGAAGGUGGCUUUCUUUUCGGAGAAAGUGUUUAUAGCCCUAUACUUCUACAAUCGGAGAGAUUGAGGUCUGCAGCGUAGAUCCUUCGGGGUUAGAUACACUUGUGCUAAGUUGUAGCUCUUCAUAGACAACUUGUUGACUAUGUUUAGUCAUGCGGCUUACUCGCUUAUGCUAUUUUACCUACGCUUAGGAUGUUGAGCGCAUGUCUCUCUCU